Molecule: long non-coding RNA, 1486 nt
Organism: Drosophila gunungcola (fruit fly)
Lineage: Eukaryota; Metazoa; Arthropoda; Insecta; Diptera; Drosophilidae
Exons: 5
Source: RefSeq, a predicted model, not a curated record
GGCCGUUGUUGUUGUAAUUGCUAUUGCUGUCAUUGUUGCCCUUGUUGUUGUUGCUCGGUAGUGUGUGGUUGUUGUUGCUUGAAACGGUGAUCGCCGGUGCCUGGCACCAAAUGCUGCACAUCAGUGGAAGCGAGACAGAGCGAGAGAGGCGAAUGAAAAUAAAUAAAUGAAAGAAAGAAAUACACAGGAAAGCAACAACAAAACGACGACGCACACACAAAGGAGCAAUAAAGAAAUCAACAACAACCACAAGGCAGACAACGAGAGUGAAGAGCAAAAAAAAACAAAAAUAAAAUUGUUAAUGGCUGAAAAAUACCUUUUCGAGAAGGAGACGGAAUACUAAUAGUGGUUGGGCAACUCUGAGAGCAACAGCAACAAUUAGAGCCGGCCGGCUAGCCAGAGAAAAAAAAAGGCAGCCAAGCAUUAAGCAUUAAGCAGCGACUGCAAAAGCAACUGCAAAUGCAACUGCGUUUGGAGAUUGCAGUUUGAACUGGUUUUCACCUGAGCUUGUCAACUCGGUUUGGAAGAAGAAGAAGAGAAGAAGAAGAAGAAGAUCGCCUUGGCGACCGGAAUACACCAAUGAGCAUAUUUAUUGACAUUGGCAUGCAAUUUAAAUGGCCGCGACAGUUGAGCAUUGAGCAAAUGCCAAACCGUUGGGCGAAAGUCGACAGCAGCGGUCACAACAGUAGACUGUGACUUGGAAUCAAGUGCCAUUACCGCAUCGAAAGCGAAAAAAAAGAAAGAAAAAAGCGACGUGGAAACGGGGAAGAAAAUAGAACAUUGAGCAGAUUACAUUAAUUUAAAGCACAAAUGAAUUGCUCGACGAAACGAAAGCGAAGAAGAAGAAGAAGACGAUGAUAAAGAAGAAGAAGAAGAAAAAAAGUGAAAAACGUGGAUGCAAAAUAAAUAAAAAGUAAAGUAUUAAAAAGUGAGCAACAAUCAAAUACAAUAGCUGGCGGAGAUCAAAAUAACGAGCGUUUCGAUGGCUUGGGAUGCCUACACUGAUAAAGAAAACGUAUUUUUCUGCCGCGAGCGUUUACCGUGCAUACUAACUGGCCAUAAAUGCGAGCAGCAGCAACUGGCCCGACGGCAACACAAAAAGUUUCAUGAAAGAAGCAUCAACAGCAACAUCAACUCCAGCAGCAACAUCAACUACAGCAGCAACAUCAGUGCAAACAACAUCAACAACAAAAACGCAAUUAGCAGCAGUAACAACGCCAGCAACACUUACAACAGCAACAGGCAAUAGCAGCAGCAACAGCAACAGCAACAGCAACAGCAGCAACACGACUAACAACAGCAACAUAUGUGCGCAAGAGCAACAUCAACAGCUUGAGAUGAAAGCGGCAAGUGCAAUCCAAUUUAUAAAAUCAUAAAACUAUGCCCAACAAGUGGAAAAUAAAGGAAAUCCUGCACUUAUAAAGUUUGUUUAACAAUAAAAAAGUAAGAGAAACUUGAUGAAAUUUGAAGCGAUUUUGGAAAACUA